Molecule: long non-coding RNA, 322 nt
Organism: Asterias rubens (European starfish)
Lineage: Eukaryota; Metazoa; Echinodermata; Asteroidea; Forcipulatida; Asteriidae
Exons: 3
Source: RefSeq, a predicted model, not a curated record
UAGUUCGUUAUGUUCAGCCAAUUUUGGUGUUACUUGUUACUUCUGUGACUAUAAAAGUAUUGGGAACAGUUUGGCGUACCGGACGAUGAAUUGGUUGGAAAUCCAAGUACAUCAACCCUAACAACAUGACUGAUGGCGUACCUUAUCUUGACUAAGUGAAAGAUGGAACUCCUACAUUUUAUAUCAGCCAUCGCCAAUGAUGUAUUGCUCAUACGGAUAAUGAUCUUUGAUGCAGAGAUCUUAAGACGCACUUGUGAACAGUAUUGAACUUUCAAGGCACUCACUUUAUGACGAAUUUUCAUUCGUUCUACGAGAACCAUCG